GAUGAACGCUGGCGGCGUGCCUAAUACAUGCAAGUCGAGCGAACAGACGAGGAGCUUGCUCCUCUGACGUUAGCGGCGGACGGGUGAGUAACACGUGGAUAACCUACCUAUAAGACUGGGAUAACUUCGGGAAACCGGAGCUAAUACCGGAUAAUAUAUUGAACCGCAUGGUUCAAUAGUGAAAGACGUUUUGCUUUCACUUAUAGAUGGAUCCGCGCCGCAUUAGCUAGUUGGUAAGGUAACGGCUUACCAAGGCAACGAUGCGUAGCCGACCUGAGAGGGUGAUCGGCCACACUGGAACUGAGACACGGUCCAGACUCCUACGGGAGGCAGCAGUAGGGAAUCUUCCGCAAUGGGCGAAAGCCUGACGGAGCAACGCCGCGUGAGUGAUGAAGGUCUUCGGAUCGUAAAACUCUGUUAUUAGGGAAGAACAAAUGUGUAAGUAACUAUGCACGUCUUGACGGUACCUAAUCAGAAAGCCACGGCUAACUACGUG
RNAcentral lists this ribosomal RNA (496 nucleotides) under uncultured bacterium. RNAcentral describes it as "partial 16S ribosomal RNA". It matches the Rfam family "Bacterial small subunit ribosomal RNA", at positions 28 to 507 of the family's 1533-position model. The record is from RNAcentral.